RNAcentral lists this ribosomal RNA (253 nucleotides) under uncultured bacterium. Its description in RNAcentral is "partial 16S ribosomal RNA". It matches the Rfam family "Bacterial small subunit ribosomal RNA", at positions 524 to 776 of the family's 1533-position model. The record is from RNAcentral.
UACAGAGGUCCCAAGCGUUGUUCGGAUUCACUGGGCGUAAAGGGUGCGUAGGCGGUCGGGUAAGUCUGAUGUGAAAUCUUCAAGCUUAACUUGGAAACUGCAUCGGAUACUAUUCGGCUAGAGGAAUGGAGGGGAGACUGGAAUACUUGGUGUAGCAGUGAAAUGCGUAGAUAUCAAGUGGAACACCAGUGGCGAAGGCGAGUCUCUGGACAUUUCCUGACGCUGAGGCACGAAAGCCAGGGGAGCAAACGGG